This 700-nucleotide ribosomal RNA is filed under the name uncultured bacterium. RNAcentral's name for it is "bacterial SSU rRNA". It matches the Rfam family "Bacterial small subunit ribosomal RNA", at positions 42 to 788 of the family's 1533-position model. The record is from RNAcentral.
UCAGGCCUAACACAUGCAAGUCGAGCGCGCCUUUCGGGGUGAGCGGCGGACGGGUUAGUAACGCGUGGGAAUAUGCCCUUUGGUACGGAAUAGCCUCUGGAAACGGAGAGUAAUACCGUAUGUGCCCUUCGGGGGAAAGAUUUAUCGCCAAAGGAUUAGCCCGCGUUAGAUUAGGUAGUUGGUGGGGUAAUGGCCUACCAAGCCUACGAUCUAUAGCUGGUUUUAGAGGAUGAUCAGCAACACUGGGACUGAGACACGGCCCAGACUCCUACGGGAGGCAGCAGUGGGGAAUCUUGGACAAUGGGGGCAACCCUGAUCCAGCCAUGCCGCGUGAGUGAUGAAGGCCUUAGGGUCGUAAAGCUCUUUCGCCUGUGAAGAUAAUGACGGUAGCAGGUAAAGAAACCCCGGCUAACUCCGUGCCAGCAGCCGCGGUAAUACGGAGGGGGUUAGCGUUGUUCGGAAUUACUGGGCGUAAAGCGCACGUAGGCGGAUCGGAAAGUUGGGGGUGAAAUCCCGGGGCUCAACCCCGGAACUGCCUCCAAAACUAUCGGUCUAGAGUUCGAGAGAGGUGAGUGGAAUUCCGAGUGUAGAGGUGAAAUUCGUAGAUAUUCGGAGGAACACCAGUGGCGAAGGCGGCUCACUGGCUCGAUACUGACGCUGAGGUGCGAAAGUGUGGGGAGCAAACAGGAUUAGAUACCCU